UGACAGUCCAAAAUAGAGAAACUCACCUUAUGGAUAGCCUGACAGCCAGAGUAAGGGGAACAAUGAAGACUUUCCAAAAAGUAUGGGAACCAUGGGAAAACAGUACUUUAGUGAAUUGUUAGGGCCCAUUCCUACCUCCCCGCAGCAUCAUACUGCUAGAAACACGACUUACAACCUCCCGGGAAAUCUGUUUUCUAUACUUUCAUUCUUUUCUCUCUAUCCUACAGUUUCUCUAACACUGUCAAUCUGAACCUGGAUUCGAAGUUAACC
Non-coding RNA from Pelobates cultripes (western spadefoot toad), 270 nucleotides. The record is from the annotation of a GenBank genome assembly. NCBI's taxonomy places the organism in Eukaryota, Metazoa, Chordata, Amphibia, Anura, Pelobatidae.